UUUAAACACCAGUUUUCAUAUGAUCACUGAAGUUAAGCAAUGUUGAGUCAGGUCAGUACCUAGAUGAGUGACUGCUUGGGAAUAUCAGGUGCUGUAAG
Molecule: ribosomal RNA, 98 nt
Filed under: Acanthosepion pharaonis
Lineage: Eukaryota; Metazoa; Mollusca; Cephalopoda; Sepiida; Sepiidae
Source: RNAcentral